CCAGCAAUUGCGGUUAUACAGGUGGUAUGAGUUAAUUUUUUCGGUUGCCAGUUAAUUUUCUAUUAAAAAUUUUAAAUUUAAGGUUAUAAGGUGGAAUUUGUAAUUUUGAUUAAAAAUUGAUUUUUGUUAUUAAGGCUGGGAUAUUCAGUUUAUAAACUAGGAUUAGAUACCCUAUUAUUCUGAAUGUAAAUGUUUGUUUGCUUGAUUAGUAGUAGUUAUGUUCUUGAAAAUUAAAGAUUUUGGCGGUACUUUAGUCCAUUCAGAGGAACCUGUCCCAUAAUUGAUGGUCCACGAUUUGCUGUACUUUUCUUAUUAGUUUAUAUAUCGUCGUAGUUUGAAUAUUUUGGUAGAAUUUAAAUGUUCAUAAUUUUUAUUUUGGAAUGGAAAUCAGAUCAAGGUGUAGCUUAUAGAAAAGGGGAGAUGGGUUACAAUAAAUUUAUUUAAAAGGAUUUAUUUUUUAAAUUUAAUAAUGAAUUUGGAUUUGAAGGUAAUUUUAAUUAAAUAAUUAAGAUGAUUUUGGCUCUGGGGUAUGCACAUAUUGCCCGUCGCUUU
This 552-nucleotide ribosomal RNA is filed under the name Dorysthenes paradoxus. Its description in RNAcentral is "partial 12S ribosomal RNA". The record is from RNAcentral. Lineage: Eukaryota; Metazoa; Arthropoda; Insecta; Coleoptera; Cerambycidae.